GGUUCUAAUCCUUCUCCAAAAAAAAAAAAAAAUCUGUAUCGAACAGUGGGCACUAUGGUUUUAAUAUGUCUAGAAUCCUUAUUAAUAUCCCCUUACCUCUGCAGUGUAGUAUUUUUCCUUUUUAUAUCAAACUGAAUAAAAAAAACUGGCCAUACACAGUAAGAUUUAUCUUGUUUAGCCCCAUGGACUGAAAGAGAGAAAUGUCUAUGCAUCCAUGCUAAACAAUGUAGAUGGGGGAAUCUGCACUGCUUUGUAUUGUAUUCUGACAGUUGUCACCCACGGCUAUCAGAAAACCAUCCAUUCGCUGCAUCUGGUAUUCACUGG
Rana temporaria (common frog) is the source of this 324-nucleotide long non-coding RNA. RefSeq lists it as uncharacterized. The transcript has 3 exons. The record is from RefSeq and is a predicted model, not a curated record. Lineage: Eukaryota; Metazoa; Chordata; Amphibia; Anura; Ranidae.